This 253-nucleotide ribosomal RNA is filed under the name uncultured bacterium. RNAcentral describes it as "partial 16S ribosomal RNA". It matches the Rfam family "Bacterial small subunit ribosomal RNA", at positions 524 to 776 of the family's 1533-position model. The record is from RNAcentral.
UACGUAGGGUGCAAGCGUUGUCCGGAAUUAUUGGGCGUAAAGAGCUCGUAGGCGGCUUGUCACGUCGACUGUGAAAACCCGGGGCUCAACUCCGGGCCUGCAGUCGAUACGGGCUGGCUUGAGUGCGGUAGGGGAGACUGGAACUCCUGGUGUAGCGGUGAAAUGCGCAGAUAUCAGGAGGAACACCGGUGGCGAAGGCGGGUCUCUGGGCCGAUACUGACGCUGAGGAGCGAAAGCGUGGGGAGCGAACAGG